This 1243-nucleotide ribosomal RNA is filed under the name metagenome. RNAcentral's name for it is "bacterial LSU rRNA". It matches the Rfam family "Bacterial large subunit ribosomal RNA", at positions 1564 to 2817 of the family's 2925-position model. The record is from RNAcentral.
UGAAUACGAGACGCUAAGGCGUCGAAGUAGUGUAUGUCAUACUUCCAAGAAAAGCUUGCACUGUCAUAGAUAAAAAACGCCUGUACCAUAACCGACACAGGUGGGUAGGUAGAGUAUACUAAGGGGCGCGAGAUAACUCUCUCUAAGGAACACGGCAAAAUAACUCCGUAACCUCGGGAGAAGGAGUGCCUUAUUCGUAAGGUUGCAAUAACAAGAUCCAAGCAACUGUUUAUCAAAAACACAGGUCUCCGCUAAGUCGUAAGACGAUGUAUGGGGGCUGACGCCUGCCCAGUGCCAGAAGGUUAAAGAAGUUGGUUAGCAAUUGCGAAGCUGAUAACUGAAGCCCUGGUGAACGGCGGCCGUAACGAUAACGGUCCUAAGGUAGCGAAAUUCCUUGUCGGGUAAGUUCCGACCCGCACGAAAGGCGUAAUGAUUUGGAUACUGUCUCGGAGAGGGGCUCGGUGAAAUAGACUUGUCUGUGAAGAUGCGGACUACCUGCACCAGGACAGAAAGACCCUAUGAAGCUUUACUGUAACUUGAAAUUGAAAUUGGACUUUAUUCGCGCAGUAUAGGUGGGAGGCGUUGAUUAUAAUCUUGUGGGAUUAUUGGAGCCAUCAGUGAGAUACCACUCUUGUAAUGUUAGAUUUCUAACUUUGAAUCAUUAUCUGGUCAAAGAACAGUUUCAGGCGGGCAGUUUGACUGGGGCGGUCGCCUCCUAAACGGUAACGGAGGCGUACAAAGGUUUCCUCUGAACGGUUAGAAAUCGUAUCUAGAGUGUAAAGGCGUAAGGAAGCUUGACUGUGAGACCUACAAGUCGAGCAGGGACGAAAGUCGGUCUUAGUGAUCUGACGGUACUGAGUGGAAAGGCCGUCACUCAACGGAUAAAAGUUACUCUAGGAUAACAGGCUGAUCUCCCCCAAGAGUUCACAUCGACGGGGAGGUUUGGCACCUCGAUGUCGGCUCAUCGCAUCCUGGGGCGGUAGUACGUCCCAAGGGUUGGGCUGUUCGCCCAUGAAAGCGGUACGCGAGCUGGGUUCAGAACGUCGUGAGACAGUUCGGUCCAUAUCCGGUGUAGGCGUUAGAAUAUUGAGAGGAGCCUUCUUUAGUACGAGAGGACCGAGAAGGACAUACCUCUGGUGUACCAGUUAUCGUGCCAACGGUAAACGCUGGGUAGCUAUGUAUGGAGUGGAUAACCGCUGAAGGCAUCUAAGUGGGAAGCCCACCUCAAGAUAAGUAUUCUCAU